This 72-nucleotide transfer RNA is filed under the name Camelus ferus (Wild Bactrian camel). It matches the Rfam family "tRNA". From Rfam's summary of the family: Transfer RNA (tRNA) molecules are approximately 80 nucleotides in length. Their secondary structure includes four short double-helical elements and three loops (D, anti-codon, and T loops). Further hydrogen bonds mediate the characteristic L-shaped molecular structure. tRNAs have two regions of fundamental functional importance: the anti-codon, which is responsible for specific mRNA codon recognition, and the 3' end, to which the tRNAs corresponding amino acid is attached (by aminoacyl-tRNA synthetases). tRNAs cope with the degeneracy of the genetic code in two manners: having more than one tRNA (with a specific anti-codon) for a particular amino acid; and 'wobble' base-pairing, i.e. permitting non-standard base-pairing at the 3rd anti-codon position. Lineage: Eukaryota; Metazoa; Chordata; Mammalia; Artiodactyla; Camelidae. The record is from Rfam by way of RNAcentral.
GGGGGUAUAGCUCAGUGGUAGAGUGCAUGCUCAGCAUGCACAAGAUACUAGGUUCAAUCCGCAGUACCUCCG